GAUGAACGCUGGCGGCGUGCCUAAUACAUGCCAGUCGAGCGAACGGACGAGAAGCUUGCUUCUCUGAGGUUAGCGGCGGACGGGUGAGUAACACGUGGAUAACCUACCUAUAAGACUGGGAUAACUUCGGGAAACCGGAGCUAAUACCGGAUAAUAUUUUGAACCGCAUGGUUCAAAAGUGAAAGACGGUCUUGGUGUCACUUAUAGAUGGACCCGCGCUGCAUUAGCUAGUUGGUAAGGUAACGGCUUACCAAGGCAACGAUGCAUAGCCGACCUGAGAGGGUGAUCGGCCACACUGGAACUGAGACAAGGUCCAGACUCCUACGGGAGGCAGCAGUAGGGAAUCUUCCGCAACGGGCGAAAGCCGGACGGAGCAGCGCCGCGGCAGUGAUGAAGGUCUUCGGAGCGUAAAGAUCUGUUAUUAGGGAAGAACAUAUGUGUAAUUAACUGUGCACAUCUUGACGGUAGCUAAUCAGAAAGCCACGGCUAACUACGUG
This 497-nucleotide ribosomal RNA is filed under the name uncultured bacterium. RNAcentral's name for it is "partial 16S ribosomal RNA". It matches the Rfam family "Bacterial small subunit ribosomal RNA", at positions 28 to 507 of the family's 1533-position model. The record is from RNAcentral.